Molecule: ribosomal RNA, 464 nt
Filed under: uncultured Desulfuromonadaceae bacterium
Lineage: Bacteria; Pseudomonadati; Thermodesulfobacteriota; Desulfuromonadia; Desulfuromonadales; Desulfuromonadaceae
Description: partial 16S ribosomal RNA
Rfam family: Bacterial small subunit ribosomal RNA
Source: RNAcentral
CCUACGGGAGGCAGCAGUGAGGGAUAUUGCGCAAUGGGCGAAAGCCUGACGCAGCGACGCCGCGUGAGUGAUGAAGGCCUUCGGGUCGUAAAGCUCUGUCAGAGGGGAAGAAAUGCAGGUGGUGAACAACCAUUCUGUUUGACGGUACCCUCAAAGGAAGCACCGGCUAACUCCGUGCCAGCAGCCGCGGUAAUACGGAGGGUGCGAGCGUUGUUCGGAAUUAUUGGGCGUAAAGCGCGUGUAGGCGGUUUGUUAAGUCUGAUGUGAAAGCCCCGGGCUCAACCGGGAAAGUGCAUGGGAUACUGGCAGACUUGAGUACGGGAGAGGAGAGUGAAAUUCCCAGUGUAGGAGUAAAAUCCGUAGAUAUGGGGAGGAACACCGGUGGCGAAGGCGGCUCUCGGGCCCGAUACUGACGCUGAGACGCGAAAGCGGGGGGAGCAAACAGGAUUAGAUCCCCGGGUAGU